UCAACGCAAAGUACAUUGGUGUUGUAGAAUUUUUUGGAUCUUUCCUAACGUGCGAUAUGAUAGGAAGUGAAGUUAGAAAAAUUUUGUAAGCUAAACCUUUUUUAAUAUGAAGAAGGAAAACACUUUUGAAAUAAGAUUUCAUCCAACUAGUAUAGUUUAGCAAUGGAAUUUUGUCAUUUUUUACUGAUAUAACAUGUGUACAUCUGAAAGCCAUGAUGAACAAGGAGAGUUAGGGGUUAGGGGACUGAGAGCUAGCAGUCAAUUACAAACAGCAAACCCGAAAUACCAAGAUAAGA
This is a long non-coding RNA of Xenia sp. Carnegie-2017, 296 nucleotides long. RefSeq lists it as uncharacterized. The record is from RefSeq and is a predicted model, not a curated record. The transcript has 3 exons. NCBI's taxonomy places the organism in Eukaryota, Metazoa, Cnidaria, Anthozoa, Malacalcyonacea, Xeniidae.